AGUAUGAAAUUUUUUUUCUUAGCACCAAGUUCCUAUGGGCUAUGGCUAUCUCAUUCUGUAAUAAAGCAGUAAAAGUAGCAACACAAUAGGGGGGAAAAUUGAAGGGGAAAAGUCAGAAAUCAGAAAUAUAAAGACUAUAGCAGAAAAAUGAAUAAUAACAGCAACAACUGACCUCUCUGCAACCCCUAAAACAAUUAAACAAGUGUAUAGUGCUUUAUUUGGAUGUAUCUGACAUGUAAUACUCUUAUGUAAAGCUUUUCUUUAACCCUCUCUUUGCAUAACACUAAAUAUUUUUCAGCACCUUUUCAAGAAUAAUUCAUUAGAAAGAGCUGCUAAGCUACCACCUAUUGUCCAAACAAUAAAAGAGAUCAAAGAAAAGAAAAAUAAAGAAGACAUUCAAGCACAAGGUACGCAAAUCUAAUUAAAGCCUUGUCAUACAUAUGAAAAACAUUAAUUCAAGAACAUAUUUAUAUAUUUAUAUUUAAUAUAUUAAAAUAUAUUAUUAUAAGUAGUCUUAUGAGCAAUUAGAUGCUCUCUUUCUUCUUCAGUUUCAAGUACAAUCACUACUACUGCUACUACUUCUUCCACCACUUUUCUAGUACCACUACCACUACUAAAUGCUACUACUACUGUUUGCAUCAAAAGCAGAUUCAAGGUAUCCCCUGCAGAUCUACCCAAAUUUUUGUUCCAUCAAAGCAAACAGAAUUAAUAAUACCCACAAUAUGUAAUAACUUCAAAAGAAAAAAAAAAAAAAUACUGCUAACCCUAAAUAUGCUGCUAAAAUUCCAUAACUGAGUGCUGAAAAACGAAAGUAACUAAAAGUACCCACAUACAAGGUAAUGGCUAUGCUACUAUCAAGAAAAGGGUGUUUCUUGUUUUUUUAUUUUUUUAAAAAUUUUUUAAUUUUUUUUUAAUUUUGUUCAUAUUAAGUUGCACCUGGUGGUGGUGGCAAGGCUUGGAUUUGCUGCUGCGGUGGACGUUUACGCUUCUUUUUCUCAUAGCUGAUUCCUCUUGCUUUAGACUGCAAAUCUCUAACUUCUCGAAGAUAAAGCCUAACUGCACGAGCUCCAAAUGGGUUGGCUUCUGGUUUUCCUCCAUUUUCUUCAAAGGCUGCUCUGAGACGCCCGAUAAGGGCGUCGAGGCUACCCCAAGCUUGCCGGAGUGGACAUGGACAUGGUGCAG
Molecule: long non-coding RNA, 1182 nt
Filed under: Jatropha curcas
Lineage: Eukaryota; Viridiplantae; Streptophyta; Magnoliopsida; Malpighiales; Euphorbiaceae
Description: long non-coding RNA (JCUR_LNC002699)
Source: RNAcentral